GCAAAACGCGCCAAGGAACUUCAAUGAAUCAGCAAUGGCCCAGCGCCCCAGAAWUGGUGUGUGUUCGGGGCGUUCCGUCGUAUUCUUCAUGUCAAAACGAYUCUCGGCAACGGAUAUCUCGGCUCUGGCAUSGAUGAAGAACGUAGCGAAAUGCGAUACUUGGUGUGAAUUGCAGAAUCCCGUGACCCAUCGAGUCUUKGAACGCAAGUUGCGCCCGAAGCCAUUAGGCUGAGGSCACKUCUGCYUGGGCGUCACACAACGUUGCCCCCCCCCUCGACUUCGAGGAUGGGUGGCGGAUGCUGGCCUCCUGUGCGCCAUGGCUCGCAGUUGGCCCAAAUGCGAGUACUCGGCGAUGAGCGCCGCGGCAAUCGGUGGUUGUCCAACCCUCGGUGCCACGCUGCGCGCGCGAGUCGUUCCUUUCCACUCGASGAUCAUAAUGCGUCGUAGCCACGACGCUCACAACGCGACCCCAGGUCAGGCGGGGCUACCCGCUGAGUUUAAGC
This 503-nucleotide ribosomal RNA is filed under the name Rhamnus formosana. RNAcentral describes it as "eukaryotic LSU rRNA". Lineage: Eukaryota; Viridiplantae; Streptophyta; Magnoliopsida; Rosales; Rhamnaceae. The record is from RNAcentral.